GAGAGGAUGAUCACCCACACUGGGAGUGAGACACGGCCCCGACUCCUCCGGGGGGGGGCAGGGGGGGAUUUUUUUCAAUGGGGGAAAGCCCCCCGGAGCAAAACCGCGUGAGGGGGGAAAGCCCUCUGGUUUUAAACCUCUUUUUUUUGGGAAGAAGAAAAAGACGGUACCCGUGGAAUAAGCCUCGGCUAAUUCCCUCCCCCCAGCCGCGGUAAUAAGGAGGGGGCAAGCGUUUUCCGAAAUAAUUGGGGGUAAAAAGUCCGUAGGUGGUUAGCCAAGUCAUCUGUUAAAGCGUGGAGCUUAACUCCAUAAAGGCAGUUGAAACAGGCUAGCUAGAGUGCGAUAGGGGCGAGGGGAAUUCCCAGUGUAGCGGUGAACUGAGUAGAUAUUGGGAAGAACAUCGGUGGCGAAAGCGCCCUGCUGGGUCGUC
This 430-nucleotide ribosomal RNA is filed under the name Leptolyngbya sp. SAR 2. Its description in RNAcentral is "partial 16S ribosomal RNA". It matches the Rfam family "Bacterial small subunit ribosomal RNA", at positions 294 to 738 of the family's 1533-position model. Lineage: Bacteria; Bacillati; Cyanobacteriota; Cyanophyceae; Leptolyngbyales; Leptolyngbyaceae. The record is from RNAcentral.